Molecule: non-coding RNA, 194 nt
Filed under: Streptococcus suis
Lineage: Bacteria; Bacillati; Bacillota; Bacilli; Lactobacillales; Streptococcaceae
Description: 6S RNA
Rfam family: 6S / SsrS RNA
About the family: E. coli 6S RNA was the first non coding RNA to be sequenced, but its function was unknown until recently.
Source: RNAcentral
GAACUGCUGUGGUAUACGAAUCCAUACCUAUGUGUUGACCGACUAUUUUUGUAUGAUUAGGGAAACAAAGAUCUCCUAACAGUAUGCAGGCCGUCUCACACGGAAGCGACUAAGUUAGGAACACGUUACCCACUUGCUUGUUUUGAGCGGGAUCAAUACAAUUUUUGGAUAACCGGUACCAAUACAGCUUUUUU